GGCUCUGUAGCUAAGUGGUAAAGUGCUUGCCUGGAACACAUGUGGCCCUGGGUUCUAGCCCCAGCACCA
This is a non-coding RNA of Ictidomys tridecemlineatus (thirteen-lined ground squirrel), 69 nucleotides long. NCBI's taxonomy places the organism in Eukaryota, Metazoa, Chordata, Mammalia, Rodentia, Sciuridae. The record is from Rfam.